RNAcentral lists this long non-coding RNA (217 nucleotides) under Elaeis guineensis (African oil palm). RNAcentral's name for it is "long non-coding RNA (EGUI_LNC046624)". Lineage: Eukaryota; Viridiplantae; Streptophyta; Magnoliopsida; Arecales; Arecaceae. The record is from RNAcentral.
UAUGAGAAACCUAAAAGUGGGGACGUGAAAAGUUGAGAGUGGGUUGGGCUUCCAUGCGUAAGAAACAGAGGAAGUGUUCUUCCUCUAAGGCGUGAGCUAUGUUCUAGGGUUUCAAAUCUAGGUUUUAUGAGAAAAAGAUACAAGAGUGAGUCUUGUCUAAUCUUUCACACCACCACCUCUUCAUAAAGUUUCAUCUUCUGAUCCAAAAAAGUCCAGG